CCUACGGGUGGCUGCAGUGGGGAAUCUUCCGCAAUGGACGAAAGUCUGACGGAGCAACGCCGCGUGAGUGAUGAAGGUCUUCGGAUUGUAAAGCUCUGUUAAUCGGGACGAAAGAGCCUAGUGUGAAUAAUGCUAGGAAGUGACGGUACCGGAAUAGAAAGCCACGGCUAACUACGUGCCAGCAGCCGCGGUAAUACGUAGGUGGCAAGCGUUGUCCGGAAUUAUUGGGCGUAAAGCGCGCGCAGGCGGAUCUGCCAGUCUGUCUUAAAAGUUCGGGGCUUAACCCCGUGAUGGGAUGGAAACUACAGAUCUAGAGUAUCGGAGAGGAAAGUGGAAUUCCUAGUGUAGCGGUGAAAUGCGUAGAUAUUAGGAAGAACACCAGUGGCGAAGGCGACUUUCUGGACGAAAACUGACGCUGAGGCGCGAAAGCCAGGGGAGCGAACGGGCUUAGAUACCCCGGUAGUC
Molecule: ribosomal RNA, 465 nt
Filed under: uncultured Veillonella sp.
Lineage: Bacteria; Bacillati; Bacillota; Negativicutes; Veillonellales; Veillonellaceae
Description: bacterial SSU rRNA
Rfam family: Bacterial small subunit ribosomal RNA
Source: RNAcentral